GUGACAAGCUUGGGCUCUGAAAUCAGACAGCCCCAAGUUUGAAACCU
Molecule: microRNA precursor, 47 nt
Organism: Macaca fascicularis (crab-eating macaque)
Lineage: Eukaryota; Metazoa; Chordata; Mammalia; Primates; Cercopithecidae
Source: Ensembl